CUCUGUCAUCGUACCUAAGGUUAAGUGACGGCUUUAUUUAUUACUUAUCUGUAGGUAUCGGUGCUCGUUUGCAAUGUGUCAGAUGUAUCCACGUUGUUCUCUCAGCUAUUCGUACUGCUGUGGGUGUUGAGA
This is a long non-coding RNA of Larimichthys crocea (large yellow croaker), 132 nucleotides long. RefSeq lists it as uncharacterized. The record is from RefSeq and is a predicted model, not a curated record. The transcript is spliced from 3 exons. Lineage: Eukaryota; Metazoa; Chordata; Actinopteri; Sciaenidae.